CGCGGUCAUGCAGGAGAGCGUGCUGGCGGCCCGUACCGCCAGCACCGCCGAAGGCGCAAGCACACCCGCAAUCGCUCAGGCAAAAGGACUGCAUGAAGGGA
Molecule: regulatory RNA element, 101 nt
Organism: Laribacter hongkongensis HLHK9
Lineage: Bacteria; Pseudomonadati; Pseudomonadota; Betaproteobacteria; Neisseriales; Aquaspirillaceae
Rfam family: Glycine riboswitch aptamer
About the family: This family represents the bacterial glycine riboswitch.
Source: Rfam